RNAcentral lists this ribosomal RNA (840 nucleotides) under Umbilicaria antarctica. Its description in RNAcentral is "eukaryotic LSU rRNA". It matches the Rfam family "Eukaryotic large subunit ribosomal RNA", at positions 75 to 933 of the family's 3401-position model. Lineage: Eukaryota; Fungi; Ascomycota; Lecanoromycetes; Umbilicariales; Umbilicariaceae. The record is from RNAcentral.
UUGCCUCAGUAACGGCGAGUGAAGCGGCAACAGCUCAAAUUUGAAAUCUGGCCGUUCGGCGGUCCGAGUUGUAAUUUGUAGAGGAUGCUUCGGGUGCGGCGCCGGUCUAAGUUCCUUGGAACAGGACGUCAUAGAGGGUGAGAAUCCCGUAUGUGACCGGCGACCUGGCCCGUGUGAAGCUCCUUCAACGAGUCGAGUUGUUUGGGAAUGCAGCUCUAAGCGGGUGGUAAAUUUCAUCUAAAGCUAAAUACCGGCCAGAGACCGAUAGCGCACAAGUAGAGUGAUCGAAAGAUGAAAAGCACUUUGGAAAGAGAGUUAAAAAGUACGUGAAAUUGUUGAAAGGGAAGCGCUUGCGACCAGACUUGCUCACGGGCGAUCAGCCGUCCUUCUGGGCGGUGCACUCGCCGGUGAUCAGGCCAGCAUCGGUUCAGGCGGCCGGAUAAAGGCCCCGGGAACGUGGCUCCCCUCGGGGAGUGUUAUAGCCCGGGGUGCAAUGCGGCCCGCCGGGACCGAGGACCGCGCUUCGGCUAGGAUGCUGGCGUAAUGGUCGUAAGCGACCCGUCUUGAAACACGGACCAAGGAGUCUAACAUCUGUGCGAGUGUUUGGGUGUCAAACCCAUGCGCGGAAUGAAAGUGAACGGAGGUGGGAACCCUUCAGGGUGCACCAUCGACCGAUCCUGAUGUCUUCGGAUGGAUUUGAGUAAGAGCAUAGCUGUUGGGACCCGAAAGAUGGUGAACUAUGCCUGAAUAGGGUGAAGCCAGAGGAAACUCUGGUGGAGGCUCGCAGCGGUUCUGACGUGCAAAUCGAUCGUCAAAUUUGGGUAUAGGGGCGAAAGACUA